Molecule: long non-coding RNA, 299 nt
Filed under: Olea europaea (common olive)
Lineage: Eukaryota; Viridiplantae; Streptophyta; Magnoliopsida; Lamiales; Oleaceae
Description: long non-coding RNA (OEUR_LNC014810)
Source: RNAcentral
AUAGCCCCCGUAAGUCUCCCACCGCUCGACCUCUCAAUAGGAAAUCAAACCACAUUAAAGUCACCUCCUAUACACGUUGGUAGAUUCCACCAAGCCAUCAUUCCAGCAAGUUCAUCCCACAAGCCCCGUCUACUGUCAUCAGUAUUAGGCCCAUAAACACCUAUGAACAUCCACUGAAAUCCAUCCCCAAUGUUUCUGAACGACAUCGAUAUUGAGAACAAUCCUACACUCACCUCCUCCAUCUCAAGCACUCUGGUGUCCCACAUGACUAAUAUGCCUCCAGAAACCCCCGAUGAUCC